Molecule: transfer RNA, 73 nt
Filed under: Chitinophagaceae bacterium
Lineage: Bacteria; Pseudomonadati; Bacteroidota; Chitinophagia; Chitinophagales; Chitinophagaceae
Also listed under: 1 other name
Description: tRNA-Ala
Rfam family: tRNA
About the family: Transfer RNA (tRNA) molecules are approximately 80 nucleotides in length.
Source: RNAcentral
GGGGAAUUAGCUCAGUUGGUAGAGCGUUUGCAUGGCAUGCAAAAGGUCAGCGGUUCGAGACCGCUAUUCUCCA